RNAcentral lists this long non-coding RNA (2846 nucleotides) under Canis lupus familiaris (dog). RNAcentral's name for it is "lncRNA (ENSCAFG00030021161.1)". The record is from RNAcentral. Lineage: Eukaryota; Metazoa; Chordata; Mammalia; Carnivora; Canidae.
AUGCCUCUCUCUCUGGAUGGCAGUGUCCUUCCAGAGGACACUGGCAAGGAUGUGUGGAACCUGCCUGCAGCAUCCUCGGCAUGUGGCAGAGGGCCUGGCCCAGUGACGGGUUUGAUGCUCGCGGGGGAUCUCGGCUAUUUGGAGGAUCCGCAGUAUGCUGCUUCAGAGAGAUCCCCGACCUCAGACGGAUGCGGCCAGGCGCCCGCUGUCCCUGCUCACUCACCAGCGGGUCGCAGGACGGGCCCUCACGCCUCCAGCGGAGCCGAAGUGAAGAGUGUCUGUCGAGCCCAGAAGCAUGAGGUGCCAGAGAGUGGCCGUGGCAGCACCCUGGGGGCGGGUGGUGUCCGGGCCCGGCCACAGCUUCCAGGCCACGCAGAUCAGAGUGUGGAGCCCAGCUCUGCCCACAGCCCAGCUUCCUAAUCUGAGUUACAAGGUGGCCCUCGGGUGCUUGUGAGAAGACACUGAACCACAGCCCACUUGACAUGCUCAAUAUUAAUGAGUGGUAUUCGUACUAACGAUGGCUAGUCCGCGGCUGGCCACACAGAACCUGCAGUGAGCUACAUUUGGGGCAUUUCAGGAACGUAGCAAACGCUGGCAGAGACGCGGUCACCAGCUGCCAGGGAGGAGGGUUGCUUUGACGCCUUUGACCACCGUCUUCUUGUCUGCAAAAUGCCACCGUCCCUGGGCAUGGGCAGACCCCGGGCACUAACACCCAGCAGACAUGGGUCCUGUGGCCCGGAGCUUGCAGCCCAGGGGCAACAAUUGGCUCUGUCUCGGCCACCUGUCUCUUGGUUGAGGCUCGGGACUGUGGGAGCAGAGGAGGUCGCCCCCGCAAGACUUGGGGAGGCACCAUCUCCCCCCACCUUCCCAUGUGCUCUCGCCUGCCCACCACCCACCCACUGCCCACCCCACGCUCCCCACCGCUGAACCCUGGCACUCAGACAUCCUUCUGCUCCCCAGUCCCUUGUCCCUCUUCUGCCUGGAGAACACCAGUGAUACCUGCCUUGUCACCAUACCUCACCUCCGUCAAACCCAGUCUGACUCCACUCCUGGAGGAGGCUCACCGGCUCAGAACAGGGGCCCCUGCUGUGUGGGGCUCACAGCCUGGAGUACCCUCCCUCCUACAGCUGCACACACGGCACCUGUGCACCCCUCAACCCCACUGGGCCUUACACACCUCAUGCCCUCCACCACUUACCCUCCCACCCCACCUCAGUCCACAAGAUCUGUCCUGACUCGAGUCCUGAAGCAGACACCCCAUCCCACCCCCGCCUUGGUCCUGUGGGUGGGGUGGGGUACUGGGGGGUCCUAACCCAGCCAUCCCCAGACUUUCAUAGGUCUGCAUGGAACCCUCCUUAACCCAGGGCCAGCAAUGUAUCCCAGGAUUGAGCAUAAACCCAAUCCACAGAGGGUCCUCAUCAAAUGUGUGAUGAAUGAAUAAACAAAUGAUCCUGGUGCCGACUCAGUCUAGGACUAGGGCUCUCCUGACCUCAGCACAGGUGUUUGGGACCAUGGAUGAGUACAGCAGGGCCUGGGCUGUGCCUUUGGGGAAGAGUGUGUCCAUGCACCCUGGCACACAGGGAGGUUGGGGUAUAGAAGCAGAAGGGGAUAGAGCUGGAAGUCCCCAAGACAGACCAGACAGGAGAAAGGCACGGGGCCCCAGCAGGUGCAGGCGGCUGUGUUCCCAGGGAGACCUGGCCAUCCUGGCUGCCGGGUGUCCCCCCUCCUCCCAGGCGCCCACCUGACAUCACCACAUUGCGUGCUCCUUGCACUGUUUGCCGGCCCUCGUCCAUCUCGCCCAUUGCUCCUUGCCUGGACCCCUGCUAGGGAUGGCGCCGCUGCUCAGCACACUCGAGAGAAGGAACCAGCGCGGACGCAGCGGUCGGGGUCCCAGGCAGGCGGGCUCAGGAGCCGCUUGCUUUGAGGCAUGAACCAGCCGAGUAGAGGUUGGUUCCCUGUCUCCUCCACCUCCGUGCCAGUCCAACAUCUGUGCUGGGACCAGAACAAGUGGCCUUCCCCUUCAGGAGAUACGGGAACGCACAGGUGGCACGGGCCGGAGUUGCUGUGACAAAGUGGUCACUUCAGGGAGCCUGUCCUGAUGCCCAGAUGCCAUUUGUCUCAGCCGUUGGCCAGGGGUGGGGACCUUCGUGCCACUAACCAUCUGCAGCCAGGGUCCCUCUGUGCGGAGGUGGGGGACAGGGCACCCUUCGUGGCGACCUCUUUACGGCUUCGCCUGCAUCCCACAGCUGCCACACAGGCCGGCUGCCCCUUCCAGCUCCUGGGCACCCCGUAUUCCUGGGCCUGGGGCCACGUCCCCCGAUCUCUGCCUCUGCCGUGGCGCGGCCGAUCCCUCUGUGUCUGCGGCUCUCCUCUUCUUAUAGGAACACCAGCCCUCAGACACAGGCCACCCUGACCCAGAAUGAGCUCAUCUCAAGAUCCUUAAGGAGUUACAUCCACAAAGACCCUGUGGCCAAAUGAGGUCACUUUCUAGACUCCGGAUGGACGUGAAUUUGGGGGACACUCUAUGCCCACACCCUGGACCCCUGAAGCGCUGGUCACAGAGUGGCUGCUCACCAAACUGUCAGAAUUAGGGUCAGGAUGAUGAGGUCUGAGGAGCUCAAGUACCCCUAGCCCGCCGCUUACAUCAGGGGAAACUGAGGGCAGAGAGGGUGCAGGACUUGCCCAGGUCCACGGCAACUGGGCAGCAGAGCUGGGCUUCGCUCAGUCUGCGGAGGAGGGACAGAGCAUCUGUCCUCACAGUUCUGUCGGCUGCCGUUUUGUCUUCCUGGUAAGUAAAUAAGCAGAUAAAUAAACAGGCCCUGGGUGAGAUCAUUACAGCAGUGACA